Platichthys flesus (European flounder) is the source of this 714-nucleotide long non-coding RNA. RefSeq lists it as uncharacterized. Lineage: Eukaryota; Metazoa; Chordata; Actinopteri; Pleuronectiformes; Pleuronectidae. The transcript is spliced from 3 exons. The record is from RefSeq and is a predicted model, not a curated record.
GAGACUUAUUUCCUAAAAAUCCUUUUUUGGAAAACUUAUUAAUUAAUUAUUUUUCUGGAGACCUCCCCCCCGCUCUUGGUUAUACUGAGACGUUUUUUUUGGAGUUCCCUUCUUUUACUAGGAUACACCUGGAACUCAUCCUCAUCCUCCUGGACCACUGCCCAACACCAACCCAGCUCCAACUUGGGAGGCCCAGCCAACUACUGGACCAAGGAGACCUACACUACCAGGGAUACCCACCAGGCAACAACCAAAGGCACCUGAACCCCAUUCUGCUGGACCACUGCCUUAAACGUCACCCCAGCUCCAACUAGGAAGGCCGAGGAACAAGCCAUCAGCCAUUUACUGGACAAAGGUGACCUCCAACUACACUACCAGGGUUGGAGGGCUCCCUCUCCACCAUCCCGGAAUUAUCCGAUGAAGAGGAAUUCCCACCACUACCAGUCAUCAGUGUUGCUGGUCCCCGGACUGGCACAAUGGAACAGCGAGGAGCCCCGACAACCAUAACGGGAGGGUCACCUAACAUGAUGAGCGGGCAAUUAAAGGCUAAUAUUGCCACUCAAGCCGUAUCUGAGACCUCCCUACCACUUCUCCGCGGAAGUCCACCUCCCACUUGUGCCGUUCGGGGGUCCAGCACACCUCCACCCCCCGAGGAUAGCCCCACAGGACCCUCCUCCACCUCCUCCCCAUUCAGCCUACCACCACACACUCCCA